This 1512-nucleotide ribosomal RNA is filed under the name metagenome. Its description in RNAcentral is "bacterial SSU rRNA". It matches the Rfam family "Bacterial small subunit ribosomal RNA". The record is from RNAcentral.
AGAGUUUGAUCAUGGCUCAGAACGAACGCUGGCGGCGUGGAUUAGGCAUGCAAGUCGAACGAUCCCGAGAAAUCGGGAUAGUGGCGCAAGGGUGAGUAACACGCGGGUAAUUUACCCCCCAGAUGGGGAUAACCUGAAGAAAUUCGGGCUAAUACCGAAUGAUACCUCCUGUCGCAUGGCAGGGGAGUCAAAGGAACCGUUUCGGCGGUUCCGCUGGAGGAGAAACCCACGUCCUAUUAGCUUGUUGGUGAGGUAACGGCUCACCAAGGCUCUUGAUGGGUAGCCGAGCUGAGAGGCUGACCGGCCACACUGGGACUGAGACACUGCCCAGACUCCUACGGGAGGCUGCAGUCGAGAAGCUUCCGCAAUGGGCGAAAGCCUGACGGAGCGACGCCGCGUGGAGGAUGAAGGUCUUCGGAUUGUAAACUCCUGUCACAUGGGAAGAAAGCUCGUUGAGCAUUGCUUGAAGAGCCUGACGGUACCAUGAGAGGAAGCCCUGGCUAACUCCGUGCCAGCAGCCGCGGUAACACGGGGAGGGCGAGCGUUGUUCGGAUUUACUGGGCGUAAAGGGCAUGUAGGUGUCCUUGUAAGUCGAGUGUGAAAGCCCUCCGCUCAACGGGGGAAUUGCACUGGAUACUGCGAGGAUAGAGUUUAGGAGAGGAGAGCGGAAUUCUCGGUGUAGCGGUGAAAUGCGUAGAUAUCGAGAAGAACACCUGUGGCGAAGGCGGCUCUCUAGCCUGAAACUGACGCUGAGAUGCGAAAGCUGGGGGGGCGAACAGGAUUAGAUACCCUGGUAGUCCCAGCCGUAAACGAUGUGCACCUGGUGUUCGCCCGCGAGGGGGAGUGCCGAAGCUAACGCAUUAAGUGCACCGCCUGGGGAGUACGGCCGCAAGGCUGAAACUCAAAGGAAUUGACGGGGGCCCGCACAAGCGGUGGAGCAUGUGGCUCAAUUCGAUGCAACGCGAAGAACCUUACCGGGGUUUGACAUGACGGUCGUAUCCUGUGAAAGCAGGAGUCAGCUCGGCUGGACCGCCACAGGUGUUGCAUGGCUGUCGUCAGCUCGUGCCGUGAGGUGUUGGGUUAAGUCCCGCAACGAGCGCAACCCUUGUUCUUAGUUGCCAGCCUCCCGGAGCAAUCUGGGAGAGGAACUCUAAGGAGACUGCCCCAGCUAAUGGGGAGGAAGGUGUGGAUGACGUCAAGUCAUUAUGGCCCUUAUACCCCGGGCUGCACACGUGCUACAAUGGCCGGUACAAUGGGUUGCAAAACCGUGAGGUGGAGCUAAUCCCAAAAAGCUGGCCCCAGUUCGGAUUGAGGUCUGCGACUCGACCUCAUGAAGCCGGAAUCGCUAGUAAUGGCGCAUCAGCUACGGCGCCGUGAAUACGUUCCCGGGCCUUGUACACACCGCCCGUCACAUCACGAAAGUCGGUUGUACCCGAAGUCGCUGCUCCAACCCGCAAGGGAGGAAGGCGUCGAAGGUAUGGCUGAUGAUUGGGAUGAAGUCGUAACAAGGUA